AAAAUGGGCAACUGUAACAGCUUAUCUUCCGACCAAGCCACCACCACUUCCGGCGGCGGCGGAGGCGGCGGCGCUCCUUCAACGCCGUCAACCACCGGUAUCAGAAUCAUCCCUUCCUCACAACCACCGCCUCCACGACCACUCUCCGGCAUCGGCCGUGUUCUCGGCCGGCCAAUGGAGGAUGUCCGGUCCAUCUACAUUUUCGGCGGCGAACUCGGCCGGGGUCAAUUCGGAGUCACCUACUUAGUUACUAACAAAAAAACGCGCCAGCAGUUCGCGUGCAAGUCAAUCGCUACACGGAAACUCAUCAACAAGGACGAUGUCGACGACGUCCGCCGUGAAGUUCAGAUCAUGCAUCACCUUACCGGUCACCGGAAUAUCGUUGAGCUUAAAGGAACUUUCGAGGAUAAACACCAUGUUCAUCUCGUCAUGGAACUUUGUGCCGGCGGCGAGCUUUUUGACCGGAUAAUUGCUAAAGGACACUAUUCCGAGCGAGCUGCUGCUGGAGUUUGCCGGCAGAUGGUAACUGUUGUUCACAAUUGUCAUUCUAUGGGAGUUAUGCAUAGGGAUUUAAAACCUGAAAAUUUCCUUUUUUUGAGCUCCGAUGAAACUUCACCAUUAAAGGCUACUGAUUUUGGACUAUCAGUCUUUUUCAAACCAGGUGAUGUGUUCAAAGACCUGGUUGGUAGUGCAUAUUAUGUUGCUCCUGAAGUUCUGCGCCGAGAAUAUGGACCUGAAGCUGAUAUUUGGAGUGCUGGAGUUAUUCUGUACAUUCUACUCAGUGGUGUUCCACCAUUUUAUGGAGAGAAUGAUCAGAGUAUCUUUGAUGCCGUUCUUCGAGGUCAUCUUGAUUUUUCAUCUGAU
RNAcentral lists this unclassified non-coding RNA (864 nucleotides) under Hevea brasiliensis (rubber tree). Lineage: Eukaryota; Viridiplantae; Streptophyta; Magnoliopsida; Malpighiales; Euphorbiaceae. The record is from RNAcentral.